This 246-nucleotide unclassified non-coding RNA is filed under the name uncultured fungus. Its description in RNAcentral is "sequence contains ITS1". The record is from RNAcentral. Lineage: Eukaryota; Fungi.
GUUUCUCAUUGAUUUCUCAUAUUUUACACAAUUGUUUAUAAUGGUGUUGGGGUCGUGGGGCAAAGAGGAGCCACAAGAAGGAGAACCUCUCAUUUUAACCAAGGCUAAAAAGUCCCCACGUAUACAUGUAGUUCACAAAGGAGUCCCUCAAGGGGCGCUGAUUCAAGAUGAUGGUCCAUGAUUGAACCAAAAUCCCUACUCCAGCAGAAAUUUAUAAUGAUCCAACCGCAGGUUCACCUACGGUUA